This 516-nucleotide ribosomal RNA is filed under the name uncultured Ferribacterium sp. Its description in RNAcentral is "bacterial SSU rRNA". It matches the Rfam family "Bacterial small subunit ribosomal RNA", at positions 1 to 526 of the family's 1533-position model. Lineage: Bacteria; Pseudomonadati; Pseudomonadota; Betaproteobacteria; Rhodocyclales; Azonexaceae. The record is from RNAcentral.
UAGAGUUUGAUUAUGGCUCAGAUUGAACGCUGGCGGCAUGCCUUACACAUGCAAGUCGAACGGUAACAGGUUAAGCUGACGAGUGGCGAACGGGUGAGUAAUGUAUCGGAACGUGCCCAGUCGUGGGGGAUAACUGCUCGAAAGAGCAGCUAAUACCGCAUACGACCUGAGGGUGAAAGCGGGGGAUCGCAAGACCUCGCGCGAUUGGAGCGGCCGAUAUCAGAUUAGGUAGUUGGUGGGGUAAAGGCCCACCAAGGCGACGAUCUGUAGCGGGUCUGAGAGGAUGAUCCGCCACACUGGAACUGAGACACGGUCCAGACUCCUACGGGAGGCAGCAGUGGGGAAUUUUGGACAAUGGGGGCAACCCUGAUCCAGCCAUGCCGCGUGAGUGAAGAAGGCCUUCGGGUUGUAAAGCUCUUUCGGCCGGGAAGAAAUCGCAUGGGUUAAUACCCUGUGUGGAUGACGGUACCGGAAUAAGAAGCACCGGCUAACUACGUGCCAGCCGCCGCGGAAUAC